This 253-nucleotide ribosomal RNA is filed under the name uncultured bacterium. RNAcentral describes it as "partial 16S ribosomal RNA". It matches the Rfam family "Bacterial small subunit ribosomal RNA", at positions 524 to 776 of the family's 1533-position model. The record is from RNAcentral.
UACAGAGGGGGCAAGCGUUAUUCGGAAUUAUUGGGCGUAAAGGGCGCGUAGGCGGCUUGGCAAGUGGAAGGUGAAAUCCCUCGGCUUAACCGAGGAACUGCCCUCCAAACUGCUUCGCUUGAGACCGGGAGAGGUGAGUGGAAUUCCCAGUGUAGCGGUGAAAUGCGUAGAUAUUGGGAGGAACACCAGUGGCGAAGGCGGCUCACUGGACCGGUACUGACGCUGAGACGCGAAAGCGUGGGGAGCAAACAGG